GGGGAUGUAGCUUAGUGACUGAGCGCUUACCUAGCAUGUGUAAAGCCCAGGGUUCAAUACCCAGCAUCACUA
Molecule: transfer RNA, 72 nt
Filed under: Heterocephalus glaber (naked mole-rat)
Lineage: Eukaryota; Metazoa; Chordata; Mammalia; Rodentia; Bathyergidae
Rfam family: tRNA
About the family: Transfer RNA (tRNA) molecules are approximately 80 nucleotides in length.
Source: Rfam by way of RNAcentral